CGGCCGUGAGGCGCAGGCCCGGGGCCUCGCCGUCCUCGGUGCGGCGCAGCAGCGCGCGGGCGAUCUCGCCGAUCGUCGCGAGGGCGGCGGG
Molecule: transfer RNA, 91 nt
Filed under: Streptomyces gardneri
Lineage: Bacteria; Bacillati; Actinomycetota; Actinomycetes; Kitasatosporales; Streptomycetaceae
Description: tRNA-Arg
Source: RNAcentral